GACGAACCGAGCGAACGUUGUUCGGAAUCACUGGGCUUAAAGGGCGCGUAGGCGGCCUGGUCAGUCAGGGGUGAAAUCUUUCGGCUCAACCGGAAAAGUGCCUUUGAUACUACCAGGCUUGAGGGAGAUAGGGGCGUGUGGAACUUCCAGUGGAGCGGUGAAAUGCGUUGAUAUUGGAAGGAACGCCGGUGGCGAAAGCGACACGCUGGGUCUCUUCUGACGCUGAGGCGCGAAAGCUAGGGGAGCGAACGGG
This 253-nucleotide ribosomal RNA is filed under the name uncultured bacterium. RNAcentral describes it as "partial 16S ribosomal RNA". It matches the Rfam family "Bacterial small subunit ribosomal RNA", at positions 524 to 776 of the family's 1533-position model. The record is from RNAcentral.